Molecule: long non-coding RNA, 1018 nt
Organism: Onthophagus taurus
Lineage: Eukaryota; Metazoa; Arthropoda; Insecta; Coleoptera; Scarabaeidae
Source: RefSeq, a predicted model, not a curated record
CAGAAAUCGUCGAUUCGUUUGAUGUUGGAGGCUCGAUUUAAAAUUCGCCAUCUUAUCACGAGUUACAAAAAGCACAGAAUCAAGGUACUGAAGAUGGAACAAUAGUUUCGAAACAUGUAUACUAUACAGGGUGUGUUUCAUGAGGAAUGGUACAUACAUUAAUAUGUUAUAGAUUUGUUCAUUUUAAGCAGAAAAGUUCCUAUGAACAUGUGCUUUAUGAAGCACGGCUUUUGUGAAACAGUCAUUUGUCAAUGUUUGACAUUUAACAUUAUUAUGUCGACUAAGUUGUUGAUAAUGCUACAUAUUGACUCAUGCAGAACAUGCUGAUAUGGUGUUUUGUUACGAUUUCUGCAAUCGAAAUGCUCGUGAUGACUAUAGGAGAGAUUCCAGAUUGCAUGAAACCGGUUCUGCUCCAAGAACAAGUAUUGAAUACUCAAUGUGCAGGUGUGCAAAGUCUGAAUGAAGUUGAACAAAUUCUUCAAUCGGUAGAACGCAGCCCAUCUACCAGUACAAGAAGACUUUCUAGAUUCCAUGUUCAACCAGUACAAUACCUUGAACCAGCAAACUCUGCCAGGAGAUUAAAAUUUCGUGGAUGGGUAAUAUCUAACAUUCACUCGGAAUAGAAUCAAAAAUAGUCGAAAUGAUCACCGUUGGUCUGAGGAUAAUCUGCAUGUCAGUGUUGAAACAAAUUUUCAGAUAUUUAGAGCUUCCAAUACUGUUACUUUGCGGAACGGUGGAUUGGUCAGCUCAGUCACCGGACCUUAAUCCGUUAUAUUACGGAAUGUGGAGAUGGCUGAAAGGCGAUGUUUAUCAAGUAAAAGUAAACAUGCGUGAUGAACAAUCGUUCGUAUUACGACCAGUGCGGCACGAAUCAAGGCACGUCAGGAUAAAUUGGUAAUGUACACAUUUAAAUAAAUCAGUUUAUGUAUUAACUGGCUGUAUCUCAGUUACCUUUGAGAAUUGAGCAUAUUUUUUUAGGAACUUUUCUCCUUAAAAUGAACAAAUUUAUAACAUAUUA